Molecule: ribosomal RNA, 439 nt
Filed under: uncultured Bacilli bacterium
Lineage: Bacteria; Bacillati; Bacillota; Bacilli
Description: bacterial SSU rRNA
Rfam family: Bacterial small subunit ribosomal RNA
Source: RNAcentral
AGAUGAAUUUGGUGCUUGCACCAAAUGAAACUAGAUACAAGCGAGCGGCGGACGGGUGAGUAACACGUGGGUAACCUGCCCAAGAGACUGGGAUAACACCUGGAAACAGAUGCUAAUACCGGAUAACAACACUAGACGCAUGUCUAGAGUUUAAAAGAUGGUUCUGCUAUCACUCUUGGAUGGACCUGCGGUGCAUUAGCUAGUUGGUAAGGUAACGGCUUACCAAGGCAAUGAUGCAUAGCCGAGUUGAGAGACUGAUCGGCCACAUUGGGACUGAGACACGGCCCAAACUCCUACGGGAGGCAGCAGUAGGGAAUCUUCCACAAUGGACGCAAGUCUGAUGGAGCAACGCCGCGUGAGUGAAGAAGGGUUUCGGCUCGUAAAGCUCUGUUGGUAGUGAAGAAAGAUAGAGGUAGUAACUGGCCUUUAUUUGACGGUA